GAUGAACGCUGGCGGCGUGCUUAACACAUGCAAGUCGAACGGGAAUUACUUUAUUGAAACUUCGGUCGAUUUAAUUUAAUUCUAGUGGCGGACGGGUGAGUAACGCGUGGGUAACCUGCCUUAUACAGGGGGAUAACAGUCAGAAAUGGCUGCUAAUACCGCAUAAGCGCACAGAGCUGCAUGGCUCGGUGUGAAAAACUCCGGUGGUAUAAGAUGGACCCGCGUUGGAUUAGCUUGUUGGUGGGGUAACGGCCCACCAAGGCGACGAUCCAUAGCCGGCCUGAGAGGGUGAACGGCCACAUUGGGACUGAGACACGGCCCAGACUCCUACGGGAGGCAGCAGUGGGGAACAUUGCACAAUGGGGGAAACCCUGAUGCAGCGACGCCGCGUGAAGGAAGAAGUAUCUCGGUAUGUAAACUUCUAUCAGCAGGGAAGAUAGUGACG
This 445-nucleotide ribosomal RNA is filed under the name uncultured bacterium. RNAcentral's name for it is "bacterial SSU rRNA". It matches the Rfam family "Bacterial small subunit ribosomal RNA", at positions 28 to 456 of the family's 1533-position model. The record is from RNAcentral.